GACGAACGCUGGCGGCGUGCUUAACACAUGCAAGUCGAACGGAAAGGCCCUGCUUUUGUGGGGUGCUCGAGUGGCGAACGGGUGAGUAACACGUGAGUAACCUGCCCUUGACUUUGGGAUAACUUCAGGAAACUGGGGCUAAUACCGGAUAGGAUCUCCUGCUGCAUGGUGGGGGUUGGAAAGUUUCGGCGGUUGGGGAUGGACUCGCGGCUUAUCAGCUUGUUGGUGGGGUAGUGGCUUACCAAGGCUUUGACGGGUAGCCGGCCUGAGAGGGUGACCGGCCACAUUGGGACUGAGAUACGGCCCAGACUCCUACGGGCGGCAGCAGUGGGGAAUAUUGCACAAUGGGCGGAAGCCUGAUGCAGCAACGCCGCGUGCGGGAUGACGGCCUUCGGGUUGUAAACCGCUUUCGCCUAUGACGAAGCGUGAGUGACGGUAAUGGGUAAAGAAGCACCGGCUAACUACGUG
Molecule: ribosomal RNA, 468 nt
Filed under: uncultured bacterium
Lineage: Bacteria
Description: partial 16S ribosomal RNA
Rfam family: Bacterial small subunit ribosomal RNA
Source: RNAcentral